AUUCAGCCCUGUGUCGCUCAGAUUCGUCCCUCCCCCUUUUAUAACUCUAGACUUUGGAGUCCUGAGGUUACUAGAGUGUUUGGUAGUCACACUCUUGGUCUUUUUGGCCGUUUCCAUCAACACUAGUGCGCCCAUAUGAUGUGUCAUGCCCCCUGCGGACAUGUAAGGCGAAGUCUUGGUCGGCUAACUUACCAAGUUGGCCAAGUGUUCAACCGAGGAACACAGGCCAUGGGAAGUGGGUGCUUGGUGCUCAUGUGUUUUCUUAAGCGACCUUUCCUUUCGUGUUUUGAAGUGAGGUUAACAAGCACACAUCUUGUAUUGGGGAAUGAUAGGCGGCGCUGGUGCUUGCACGAUGAGCCACGCGCCAAGUGGGUGGGUGGUUGGUGGCUGGAUGUUAGGCGGAGGUUUGCUUUUGUGAUCUCAAGUGAGGUUAACAUGUCCCUUUUGGCCUUGCUCUUCUGAUCUCAAGUGAGGUUAACAUGUCCCUUUUGGCCUUGCUCUUCUGAUCUCAAGUGAGGUUAACACGUCCCUUUUGGCCUUGCUCUUGUGACCUCAAGUGAGGUUAACACGUCCCUUUUGGCCUUGCUCUUCUGAUCUCAAGUGAGGUUAACACCUCCCUUUUGGCCUUGCUCUUGUGACCUCAAGUGAGGUUAACACCUCCCUUUUGGCCUUGCUCUUGUGACCUCAAGUGAGGUUAACACAUCCCCCCACUGCCAUUCAAUUAGUGAUUUCAAGUGAGGCUAACCUUUCACCUUGUUGGAUUGUGGGUCAUGUAAAUUUUUUGUUUGUUUGAAGUGAGGUUAACAUGUUCCUUGUAGCCUUGUUGUUAUGUGUGUCACGUAAAUCUCAAGCGAGUUUAUUCAUUCAUCCUUUUGCUUUCCAAUCAUUCACUCUCUCUAUCCCCAUCUCUCACACCCUACUGUUAUUAAUCAAAUCUACGCCGUAAAGUAGGAAUGGUUUUUAGUGUCCAAGUUUUUUUUUUGGUUCGUUCAAGAUUGACUCAUUUGAUAUCUUCAGUUUAUAACAAUAAGUUACAAAACCUCAUUUCUUUAUCUGUUCACGAUUGCUUCAUUUUAUAACAUUAAAUGACAACACCACGUUUCUUAUUAUGUGGAAGAUUGUUUCAUUUUAUAACAUGUUCGUUAUUCAUUUUAUAAAGAUUUACUUGGGACGAUUUUUAUUGUUGAAUAUUCUUUUGUCUCGAUCAAGAUUGGUUCAUUUGAUGUAUUCAUUUCAAAACUACAAAUUACAAUAACACAUUUCUUUUGAAUCAUUCUACAACAUAUUGUUCACCAUGUGCAUGCACCACGCGGGGUGCUCAUGGGUGCACUUGGUGGUUGGCAUGAGAAAUAACAAUGUGGAUGCACAACGUGUGGUGCUCAUGUGUGAUGCCAUUGAUAUUUCUCAAUGUUCGUGCCGGAGGCUAGGUGCACACCAUCCGCACGCACGUGGGGUGCUCAUGUGUGCACUUGGCGGAUGGCAUGUGUGCACCAAUCACCAUGUCCGUGCACUUGGCGGAUGGCAUGUGUGCACCAAUCAUCAUGUGCGUGCACUUGGCGGAUGGCAUGUGCAUGAACGACGCAUGCUUAUGUGUGCACUUGUGGGUGGAUUGAGUUUCACAAUGUUGAUCCGGGGUGCUCAUGUGUGCACUGGGCGGAUGGCAUGUGUGCACCAAUCAUCAUGUGCAUGAACUGGGCGGAUGGCAUGUGUGCACCAAUCAACAUGUGCAUGUGCAUGAACGAUGCAUGCACCACAUGGGGGGUGCUCAUGUGUGCACUUGUGGGUGUGUUGAGUUUCACAAUGUGGAUCCGGGGUGCCCAUGUGUGCACUUGGUGGAUGGCAUGUGUGCACCAAUCAACAUGUGCAUGUGCAUGCACGAUGCAUGCACCACGUGGGCACACCUCUUGGUAGCCGGUGCCCAAAUUUUUUUUUUUCCAUUUUUUUUCUCCCGAAACCACCCACACAUGCUCCCAAAAAUUAUAAUAUAUACUUCCCAACCACCCAUUGCCAUUGGAAUUGUGUUUUUGCCCGAUUUUCCAUUUUUUCAAUAUUUUAAUAUUUUAAUUAUUUAAAAAAAUUGUAAAAAAAUAAUUAUUUUUAUUUUUUGUGUUUUAAAUUCAUAGACCCCUUCUUUACAUUAAAACAACCAUGCACACAAAAUUUCGUUCAAUUUGGACUCAUAUUCUUCAAUUUAUGCUAAAAUAUGUCUCCCAAGCAAAAAUCAUAUAUGUUCCUGGCAGGCACCUUUUUCCUCAGAAUGCUCCUUAGGGAGCUUCGGGGGGUCCGAAGUUGACGUGAGGGGGUGGGUCUGGUGGGCACCGUGGGUGCAUACCAGGCCCAUUUUCAGCGUCUUUUUGUGUUUUCACACUUAGCGGUGCGGCCAUGGGGCUUCUUGGUGCGUGUGUAUGCUUCUUUGACCAUGUUGUCACUGAGUGUGCAUUCGUGUUGGGUUGAACUGUGUCUAGCGUACGUGAUAGUGUGUGAGUGGUGAUUGGUUGUUUGUGUUGGUUGGCUUGGUGCUUGUGCAUCGAACUAUGAACACUCCUACCGCCUUCAGUGUUGCUACAAGAGCGCUGCUCAUUUUGAGCGCAACGUUCGGUUUCCUGUGUUGACUACCUCUGAUGGAAUGAUUCAUUUAGCUGCCCCUUUCCUCCUUUGUGGCUGUUAUGGCUGCAGGGGGGACCUCGUAGCAGUCCUUGAGUCCCGAACGUGCCUCUACAAUUUGUUGGGGUCGUUUUGGUCCUUGAGUGCCUGCUUGUUCUCUCGGAUGCGGAAAGUUAUGAGAGUGUGGGGGUCUAUGAUCUUCGAACGCUCAAAAUUUUCCAUGAAAACGGAUGACGAUGGCAGAUGCAUCAAGCGCCUGACCGAUAGGCCAGUGUGCUUGUGCACUUUGCCGCGUCCCGAAUGAAUGC
This 2912-nucleotide unclassified non-coding RNA is filed under the name Humulus lupulus (European hop). Its description in RNAcentral is "26S-18S ribosomal RNA intergenic spacer". The record is from RNAcentral. Lineage: Eukaryota; Viridiplantae; Streptophyta; Magnoliopsida; Rosales; Cannabaceae.